Molecule: unclassified non-coding RNA, 345 nt
Filed under: Bombus terrestris (buff-tailed bumblebee)
Lineage: Eukaryota; Metazoa; Arthropoda; Insecta; Hymenoptera; Apidae
Description: misc RNA ENSBTSG00005019920.1
Source: RNAcentral
UUCUAUUCCUUUUUAUCGGUUAAUUUCCCACCACCUUUAAACGUAAUCGCGCUCAUUGCGUAACAAUAAUCGACUAAUAAAGCCUUGCUUAUUUUCCAAAAUCACUACAAUACGAAGUAAUUUUGUUUGGCAUCGUUAUUUCUGGAAAUCAAUACUCAAACCGUGCCACUCGAGGCUGAUAAUAGGUACACGAAGUCCCAGAUGUAAACGCGAUACCGAGAAGAAGAAGAUGGAAACUUGUAUGAAAAUCAUCGACGUUUCACGCCGAUUGUCAAUUCAAUCGAAAACUGUUUAUUCUCGAACACCCUGCAACGUGAACCUUUGGUUCCCGAAAUUAACCACACG